GUCGAGAAUCUUUCACAAUGGGGGCAACCCUGAUGGAGCGACGCCGCGUGGAGGAUAAGGUCUUCGGAUUGUAAACUCCUGUCAUGCGUGAACAAGGUUGCUUGGUUAAUACCUGGGCAAAUUGAUGGUAACGCAAGAGGAAGAGACGGCUAACUCUGUGCCAGCAGCCGCGGUAAUACAGAGGUCUCAAGCGUUGUUCGGAAUCACUGGGCGUAAAGGGUGCGUAGGUGGCGUGGUAAGUCAGAUGUGAAAGCCCGGGGCUCAACCUCGGAACUACAUCCGAUACUGCCAUGCUAGAGUACUGGAGAGGUGACUAGAAUUCUCGGUGUAGCAGUGAAAUGCGUAGAUAUCGAGAGGAAUACCAAAGGCGUAGGCAGGUCACUGGACAGUUACUGACACUGAGGCACGAAGGCCAGGGGAGCGAACGGGAUUAGAAACCCCAGUAGUCC
RNAcentral lists this ribosomal RNA (449 nucleotides) under uncultured bacterium. RNAcentral describes it as "partial 16S ribosomal RNA". It matches the Rfam family "Bacterial small subunit ribosomal RNA", at positions 354 to 796 of the family's 1533-position model. The record is from RNAcentral.